UACGUAGGGUGCGAGCGUUGUCCGGAAUUAUUGGGCGUAAAGCGCUCGCAGGUGGUCCGUCGCGUCGUGCGUGAAAGACCCCGGCUCAACUGGGGAGGGUCGUGCGAUACGGGCGGACUGGAGGCCAGUAGGGGGAUGCGGAAUUCCGGGUGUAGUGGUGGAAUGCGUAGAGAUCCGGAGGAACACCAGCGGCGAAGGCGGCAUCCUGGACUGGUCCUGACACUCAGGAGCGAAAGCGUGGGUAGCAAACAGG
RNAcentral lists this ribosomal RNA (253 nucleotides) under uncultured bacterium. Its description in RNAcentral is "partial 16S ribosomal RNA". It matches the Rfam family "Bacterial small subunit ribosomal RNA", at positions 524 to 776 of the family's 1533-position model. The record is from RNAcentral.